GACGAACGCUGGCGGCGUGCCUAACACAUGCAAGUCGAACGGAACUUCUUUAAAGGAUUUCUUCGGAAUGAAUUUGAUUAAGUUUAGUGGCGGACGGGUGAGUAACGCGUGAGUAACCUGCCUCUAAGAGGGGAAUAACAUUCUGAAAAGAAUGCUAAUACCGCAUAACAUACAUUUAUCGCAUGGUAGAUAUAUCAAAGAUUUAUCGCUUAGAGAUGGACUCGCGUCCGAUUAGUUAGUUGGUGAGGUAACGGCUCACCAAGACCGCGAUCGGUAGCCGGACUGAGAGGUUGAACGGCCACAUUGGGACUGAGACACGGCCCAGACUCCUACGGGAGGCAACAGUGGGGGAUAUUGCGCAAUGGGGGAAACCCUGACGCAGCAACGCCGCGUGAAGGAUGAAGGUCUUCGGAUUGUAAACUUCUUUUAUUAAGGACGAAGAAAGUGACGGUACUUAA
This 458-nucleotide ribosomal RNA is filed under the name uncultured bacterium. RNAcentral describes it as "bacterial SSU rRNA". It matches the Rfam family "Bacterial small subunit ribosomal RNA", at positions 28 to 482 of the family's 1533-position model. The record is from RNAcentral.